CCCUCAGGCGGCCUGUUCCACGCCAGGAUUAGUUUUGCUUCGCAGAUGGGCCGUGGUGGUGAGAGGAAGCAAUCAGUAUGGAAAUGGAGAAAUGGCUUACCAUGCAUGUCCUUCUCCCCAGGAGGGAGGUCGUGGUGCAGGCGAGCAGACGCCAGACUCCUGGACACUUGCCGCCUGCGUUAUGGAGGCUUAGCUAAUAACCUUGCAGGGGUCUUCAGGCUUUUCCACUGGCUCACCUUUAGGCUUCUGACACUUUUACCUACGAUUGAAAAAAGACGAGAUUCCAUGAGACUAGAAAUGUAGGAGCAUCUCAGACCUUCACAGAACGCUCUGUUAGAAGAUGAGAAACAUAACGUUGCUUGUGAGAGGUGAAGCCAGCUGGACUUCCUGGGUCGAGUGGGGACUUGGAGAACUUUUCUGUCUAGCUAAAGGAUUAUAAGUGCACCAAUCAGCACUCUGUAAAAACACACCAGUCAGCGCUCUGUGUCUAGCUAAAGGAUUGUAAAUGCACCAAUCAGCACUCUGUAAAAUGGACCAAUCAGUACCCUGUAAAAUGGACCAAUCAGCAGGACGUGGGCAGGGACAAAUAAGGGAAUAACAGCUGGCGCCCCUAGCCAGCAGUGGCAACCCACUCGGAUCACCUUCCAUGCUGUGGAAGCUUUGUUAUUUCACUUUUCACAAUAAAUCUUAGGGUUGCUUACUUUUUGGGUCCAUGCCACCUUGAAGAGCUGUAACACUCACCACGAAGGUCUGAGGCUUCAUUCUUGAAGUCAGACUAAGAACCCACCGGAAGGAACCAAUUCCAGACACACGUGUAGUAGCAAAUUAUCAAAAAUGUUCAUUGCCUUUUCUGAAAAACAAUUUUCCCAGAAACACCUGGCAGAAUCAGAGUUCAUUGUGUCAAAAGAAAAACUUUGGACAAAUUAAAAUGAGCAAAGAACAAUUUGUGAAAUGUGCCCCUCUCCCAACCAGAACAGGUUCAAAGAGACUCCAGUGCUGCCACAUGAUCAAAGAAUUAUGGACAAAAAAAGCAAAUAAAUUACAGGAAAAGAAAAUGAGAAACAGCUGGAUUGGUUACAGCUUGGUGUUUACCUUACUUGAACAAGGUUCGAACAGUUGGCUGCCUUUGAUGGGCUGCAACACAGUGAUUGGUAUAAGAGUAGGUUACAGCCUGUUUACACAUGCAGUUAGGUUACAAUUCACUGUGUGUUGAGAAACCUUUAGGCCAAACUUAAAAUUUGUAAGGAGGCAGCUUUAGGCUUAACUUGAUUUAAAAGUUAUUAGAUGUUCCAUCAGUCGUUUCGCCAAUAGGUAAUAGGUUUUUUUGGUUUUGUUUUCUGUGCUAUUAAAAUAGUAUAUAAAACUUGUCAUCAUUGAUUCUGAUUUAUCAUGUUACAGUUCAGUCUCUAAUUGAACUGAGCCUAUUUUUUUCCGUAAAAUCCAACCUAUUCAUCCAUUUAUACAGAUUUUUUAAAAUCUAAAUAUUUUAUAUCAAAUUGCUAAAAAUGUUUAGUCACAUUCUUUUUCUAUUGCUGCCCAUAUAUUUUCUGCCAUCAUUUUCAGCUGCUAAAUAGUAUCUAGUCCUAGAUAUCUGGUUACCCAUUAUCAGGAACUCUUCGUGAAAUGCUUUAGUGACCUUGUUUAAGUCAGUAAUAAAGUUGAGAUUUAUAAUCAUAUUCUAUUACCAAAAAAAAUACAGGUAAUAGAUUUUCAAAUGUCAGCCCAUGUCUACUCCUUUAUUUCCCAGUGUGGCAGAAUUUUUGAACAGUGAAAAUAUUUCUGUCUGAGGAAGUUUGGACUAUGUGGUGUGAGAUCCGUAGACAUUGGACUAAUGUCAUUAACAUAUUUU
Molecule: long non-coding RNA, 1849 nt
Filed under: Homo sapiens (human)
Lineage: Eukaryota; Metazoa; Chordata; Mammalia; Primates; Hominidae
Description: HSALNT0087726
Source: RNAcentral